Molecule: RNase P RNA, 319 nt
Filed under: Salmonella enterica
Lineage: Bacteria; Pseudomonadati; Pseudomonadota; Gammaproteobacteria; Enterobacterales; Enterobacteriaceae
Description: RNase P RNA component class B
Rfam family: Bacterial RNase P class B
About the family: Ribonuclease P (RNase P) is a ubiquitous endoribonuclease, found in archaea, bacteria and eukarya as well as chloroplasts and mitochondria. Its best characterised activity is the generation of mature 5'-ends of tRNAs by cleaving the 5'-leader elements of precursor-tRNAs.
Source: RNAcentral
GGUAAUCGCUGCAACUUACGUUGUAGAGGAAAGUCCAUGCUCGCACGGUUCUGAGAUGACUGUAGUGUUCGUGCUCGGCGAAAAGAUAAGCCGGGGCUUCGCGCUUGCGCGUUGACGGCGGGGAUAAAUCCUACGUUUGUUUCGACAAAUAUGGAUGAGGUUCCCUGAAAAGUGCCACAGUGACGUAGCUGUUCCGGAAACGGUUCAGAUGGAACGCGGUAAACCCCAUGAGCGAGAAACCCAAAUUAUGGUAGGGGCACUCUUCUGAAGGAAUUGAACGGAUGAAGGGACAGACCCAGUCUGUAGAUAGAUGAUUACC